AUACGGAGGGUGCAAGCGUUAAUCGGAAUUACUGGGCGUAAAGCGCGCGUAGGCGGUUUGGUAAGUCGGAUGUGAAAGCCCCGGGCUCAACCUGGGAAUUGCAUUCGAUACUGCCAGACUAGAGUAUGGUAGAGGGAAGUGGAAUUCCGGGUGUAGCGGUGAAAUGCGUAGAUAUCCGGAGGAACACCAGUGGCGAAGGCGACUUCCUGGACCAAUACUGACGCUGAGGUGCGAAAGCGUGGGGAGCAAACAGGAUUAGAUACCCUAGUAGUCC
Molecule: ribosomal RNA, 274 nt
Filed under: uncultured bacterium
Lineage: Bacteria
Description: partial 16S ribosomal RNA
Rfam family: Bacterial small subunit ribosomal RNA
Source: RNAcentral